GUGGUUGUGCUUGCACAUUUAAUGCUGCCGAGAAGCUACACAUAUUUGGCAUUCGCGGCCGAGCCGCUCACCAUCAUGGAGUUGGAUCACACUAGACCUCAAUGGCAUGCUCUGCCAUGUGGCCUCCUUGAUGCUGGUCGUCGAGCGCUGAUUCGACUAGACUAUCGCGCACAUAUUGAUCACAUUUGAUAAACAAGCUAUGAUCGUUGGAGAGUACCCCUCAGAUAUAUAGGUUAAUUUGACUCGAUUUUGCAGGUGCUUUGAUCUGAAGGAUUGGUUUGUGAUACGUCAUUGAUUCAUCGUUGACACAAAUAUGAAAGCACACUAGAAAGAUAAACAUAGGAGAUCAUAGCUGAAGGGUGGGUUUCCAACGACGGUGGUGUGCUGCCUUUCUUCCAGUGCCGACAAGAUGGCUAGUUUGUCGCCCCGUAACCCUGGUGGUGGGCUCCCAUGACUGCCUCCUGGGUUACCUACCACUUAGCAUUAAUCCAUCAAGGGGCAUGGGCAAUUUCCUUGUUCUAUUUCUUA
This is a long non-coding RNA of Triticum dicoccoides, 528 nucleotides long. RefSeq lists it as uncharacterized. The record is from RefSeq and is a predicted model, not a curated record. The transcript is spliced from 5 exons. NCBI's taxonomy places the organism in Eukaryota, Viridiplantae, Streptophyta, Magnoliopsida, Poales, Poaceae.